CCUACGGGAGGCUGCAGUAGGGAAUAUUGCUCAAUGGGGGAAACCCUGAAGCAGCAACGCCGCGUGGAGGAUGAAGGUUUUCGGAUUGUAAACUCCUUUUGUUAGAGAAGAUAAUGACGGUAUCUAACGAAUAAGCACCGGCUAACUCCGUGCCAGCAGCCGCGGUAAUACGGAGGGUGCAAGCGUUACUCGGAAUCACUGGGCGGAAAGAGCGCGUAGGCGGGAUAGCAAGUCAGAUGUGAAAUCCUAUGGCUUAACCAUAGAACUGCAUUUUAAACUGUUAUUCUAGAGUAUGGGAGAGGUAGGUGGAAUUCUUGGUGUAGGGGUAAAAUCCGUAGAGAUCAAGAGGAAUACUCAUUGCGAAGGCGACCUGCUAGAACAUAACUGACGCUGAUGCGCGAAAGCGUGGGGAGCAAACAGGAUUAGAUACCCCAGUAGUC
RNAcentral lists this ribosomal RNA (440 nucleotides) under uncultured bacterium. RNAcentral describes it as "partial 16S ribosomal RNA". It matches the Rfam family "Bacterial small subunit ribosomal RNA", at positions 338 to 795 of the family's 1533-position model. The record is from RNAcentral.